UCUGUGAGCGAGUACGUAGUUUUUGUUGGCGAAGAAGAAAUUCAUCCACACUUAUUGUGGUUUCAUGCUCUCUUAUUGUGUAGAACAAAACUUAGCAGGGAUGGUAAAUUCUAACCUCAAUUACUUCUUUACACCUCGUUGAUUUUCAAUUGACAAAAACAUGGUUGUUCUAAAGUCAUUCGAGGAUUCUAUUACGCCAGGGAGUGAUUAUAUUAAUGCAAGUUUUCUCGAGGGAAGGAGCCAUAGGAGAGAUAUCCUGCUAUCAACAGCAAAACGCGUACAACACAUUUGAAGAAAUGCCUGAGCCACCAGUUAACACAGGCUCAAGUUCAGUUGCCAAUGGUUCACCUCACUACAUCUCAGUUCCGCUAGCCAUGGGUGUGAUGAGUCUUUGCCAAGGGUUUGGACAGAUUUUUGAAGCCAGGAAAGAAAGAGAGUUUGGUUUGGUUUGGAGUUUUGGAUUGCCGAGAAGACAAAUUAUGGAAAAUCUGUUGUUGUCGGUGGAUCAAGGGGAAUGAUGGCGCGUAUGGCUGAGAUUAAGACGUGAAUUAGAGUUUACAUGAUAUAAGGAAAGUUGGGUCUCUCCCCAGUUCGAUAAUCCAGGGAUUUGAGGCUAAAAAAGAAAGACCCUGAAAGCUACAGGGAGAGAUCUAAUACCCGCUCGACGACUGUUUUCACCUCCAACAGCUCUUGAAACCCUUCCAUCCACCACCAGACUACUUGCAUACCACUCCAUAUCAAUACCAAUAGUUCGAAGCUCUUCCUUCCGCCUGCAUACAACCGUCUCCACCACAUCCACAACACCUGCUUGAAAAUAAGGAACGCCUCUCAACAAUGUAUGUUCAUUCCCGUGAAAGCAAUCCACGCAUCAUAGCCGCACAAGGUCCACUACAAGAUACAUGUGAGGAUUUCUGGGAGAUGGUAAUCCAGUAUACUGCCCCUUAAUUAUUAUGCUGACUCAGUUAGUUGAUGAUCACCAGGUUAAGGUCUUAUGUCAUCCAUACGUCUAAGUUACGUUUGAUUUCCUGGUGAACUGCUUAAGCAGGAAACCAUUGAGGUUUGAGUAUGCUGUUGUGAUAUGAGUUUCUCCAGACAGGAAACGGAGCUUCGGGUGGUGAUAUGAAACCAGAAUAAUUGAGGCAGAUGAGAAGAUGUUGCAUGUGUGAAAUUGAGACUUGGCAGGGAUAUUAGAUGUUAAUGUUGCUGCUGUGAUGAGAUUGUGUUAGCUGAGAUGAAGAGUUUGGUGUUGGCUUAAGGGAUUUAAGGUUGUAGAUAAAUGAUUGCGUGAAGGUAAAUGUUUAGAUGUGUGCUAGGAUUGAUAUGAAUGGCAGACCCAAUCAACCUGGCAUGCAUCAGAACUGGGCGAGGCGAAGCCGAGCCAAGAAUGCAUGGGACGGAACGGGGCGAGACGAAGUCGAGCUACACCAAAUUAUAAAUCCUAAACAUGCACCCGCUGAUGCAUAAUGGUAUUUCAUAUAUACCAUUUAUGCCCUCUUAUUUCGUACUUACUCUUUUACCCUCUUCUUUCCCUUAUUUCCUACCUUUGUCCUUUUUGUUUACUAUUUAUUAUUUAAACCCUAGCUCUUCUAGUUUUGAAGUUUUGUUUGUUUAGAAAAGUGGUGUAAGAACCCUAAAUCCUUCCUAAGAGAAGAGCCUCCAACAUUUUGUUAUUUCCAAUUUGUAAUUGGGUAGAAAUUUCAAUUUGUAAGAGAUGCAUCUAUUACUUUCUAGUUUCCAAUCUUAGAAUUGGGUAGAAAUUUGAAGAUUAUUAGAGAAGAACCUCAAAUCUUUGUAUCUUCCUUGUUCCAAGAGUAGAAGAAGCAUCAUUUGAAGGUUGGUUACUU
Molecule: long non-coding RNA, 1844 nt
Organism: Papaver somniferum (opium poppy)
Lineage: Eukaryota; Viridiplantae; Streptophyta; Magnoliopsida; Ranunculales; Papaveraceae
Exons: 3
Source: RefSeq, a predicted model, not a curated record